Molecule: transfer RNA, 74 nt
Filed under: Gemmatimonadota bacterium
Lineage: Bacteria; Pseudomonadati; Gemmatimonadota
Also listed under: 3 other names
Description: Gemmatimonadetes bacterium tRNA-Arg
Rfam family: tRNA
About the family: Transfer RNA (tRNA) molecules are approximately 80 nucleotides in length. Their secondary structure includes four short double-helical elements and three loops (D, anti-codon, and T loops). Further hydrogen bonds mediate the characteristic L-shaped molecular structure. tRNAs have two regions of fundamental functional importance: the anti-codon, which is responsible for specific mRNA codon recognition, and the 3' end, to which the tRNAs corresponding amino acid is attached (by aminoacyl-tRNA synthetases). tRNAs cope with the degeneracy of the genetic code in two manners: having more than one tRNA (with a specific anti-codon) for a particular amino acid; and 'wobble' base-pairing, i.e. permitting non-standard base-pairing at the 3rd anti-codon position.
Source: RNAcentral
GUCCCCGUAGCUCAGUUGGAUAGAGCGACUGCCUCCUAAGCAGUAGGUCGCAGGUUCGAUUCCUGCCGGGGACG